UACGAAGGGGGCUAGCGUUGUUCGGAAUCACUGGGCGUAAAGCGCACGUAGGCGGAUUGUUAAGUCAGGGGUGAAAUGCCAAGGCUCAACCUUGGAACUGCCUUUGAUACUGGCAAUCUCGAGUCCGGGAGAGGAUAGUGGAAUUCCCAGUGUAGAGGUGAAAUUCGUAGAUAUUGGGAAGAACACCGGUGGCGAAGGCGGCUAUCUGGACCGUAACUGACGCUGAGGCGCGAAAGCGUGGGGAGCAAACAGG
Molecule: ribosomal RNA, 253 nt
Filed under: uncultured bacterium
Lineage: Bacteria
Description: partial 16S ribosomal RNA
Rfam family: Bacterial small subunit ribosomal RNA
Source: RNAcentral